UACUUAUAAAAUUGUGUGUGGAUCCCCGUUGAACCACUGCCGCCGGUCCUUUCAGUCACAAUGGCCCGUCACUGCUCCCUUCUCGCUUUUUGCCUCGUCGCUGUAGUGGCUCCAGCCGUCCGCGGGGACCUUACCCAAGUACAAGUCGAGGAAUGCUCACCUGGAUCCACGAGCAACGUGGACGCUGUUCGCAUUAGCCACUGUGCCACGCUGCCAUGCACCGUAACGCUGGAGGA
Molecule: long non-coding RNA, 236 nt
Organism: Rhipicephalus microplus (southern cattle tick)
Lineage: Eukaryota; Metazoa; Arthropoda; Arachnida; Ixodida; Ixodidae
Source: RefSeq, a predicted model, not a curated record